UUCAUCAGGGCCGCCGGCAGGCGGAAGGCAAUGGCGCUUGGGAGGUUGUCGCCUGGAGGAGUUUGGUUGCUCUGCUGAGGCGGUUCCUUGCUUCACUGUGGAAUGUAACCGCACCCAAACUGUCCACCCACGGAAGAAGGAAACGAUUCUGUUUCAGUCCUGAUAGAGCAAGCAUUGUAUGUGAUAGUGAGAUUCCUCAAGACACAAAUAUACUUUAUGAAUAUUCCUGUUUUCUCUGCAAGACUGUUGGGAUCUAAAUAACUGACAACAUUUCAGCCUGCAGCUACUCAGGAGGAAGAAAAAAAAAAAAAAAGACUGGCAAGCUCUGUUCUACUCUUCUUGAACAUAUUUUUCUUAUAAAGUAGAUUUGCACUUGAACACCGUCGACAAAGGACUGUACAAGUUACCAGUGUUCCUUCAGAAGACUUUGAGAGAAUAUUAUUUUGUUGGAUUCAUCCAGUCUUUGUUGAGACAUCAUAAGGGAAUCCAGAAGUAUAGAUGGAACAUUGCCAAGAUAUGGCAUUUUGUGAACAUUUCUACUUCAAUUGAAGUCUACCAAGAUACAGCAGUCUUACACGUCCUGUCAUACACGCUGUCUGAUAUCAGCAUUCAGAAAUCAAACUAAAUCCUCUGUCAGCUUGCAGCAGUGGAACCCUGAAGACCCUCUACUUCCAUGGAAAGAAAACACAUGAAAUUAAUAAAUAUGACACAUUUAAGAACAACACUUUCACAUGUUUAAAUGUUUCAAAUGUUUUCAGAA
This is a long non-coding RNA of Numida meleagris (helmeted guineafowl), 760 nucleotides long. RefSeq lists it as uncharacterized. The record is from RefSeq and is a predicted model, not a curated record. Lineage: Eukaryota; Metazoa; Chordata; Aves; Galliformes; Numididae. The transcript is spliced from 5 exons.